AGAAGGCCAUGGAGAGGGAGAGAUAACAGGCGUCUCCAACGCAGGAGUUGCAGGCGACAACAAUGGCGCGUUGAUGCCAAGCUUUCCUGCUCUCAUCAGGUAAGAACUUGUGUUGUAAGGAGCACAGGGGACCCGGUUCAUGAUCGUUCUCUUGUUCUUACGCCGGGUUUUGUGUCGCCGGGACAGGAGCGGACGCUUGGCGUAGGGGCGAGGGUAAAACCGUGUAGGAUUCUGCCGCUCUGGCGCAGAGCACAUCCAUGGACUCUUCUUGCCGUCCAGUGGGGAC
RNAcentral lists this long non-coding RNA (286 nucleotides) under Physcomitrium patens. RNAcentral describes it as "long non-coding RNA (PPAT_LNC004895)". Lineage: Eukaryota; Viridiplantae; Streptophyta; Bryopsida; Funariales; Funariaceae. The record is from RNAcentral.